This is a long non-coding RNA of Arabidopsis thaliana (thale cress), 589 nucleotides long. RefSeq annotates it as other RNA. NCBI's taxonomy places the organism in Eukaryota, Viridiplantae, Streptophyta, Magnoliopsida, Brassicales, Brassicaceae. The transcript has a single exon. The record is from RefSeq.
ACUUCAACUUUCAUGUCAAAUGCUCAACCUCCAAAUGCCAUACCUUUUCUUCUUUCUUUUCUUGUAAACCUAAUAUAUAUAUAAACAAAGAUGAAAAAGGCAUAUUUGCAAAUGCCCAAAAUCUUCUACCAUUUUGCAUCAUUGACUUUAGUUGCCUCUUUCAGUCCAUUGUGAUAUGUAUUCUAUUGAAGCUUUGUCUAUGUGACAUGCACAGGUCCACACGGACACAGCCACUUUAUAAAAUAUAGUUUUUUUUCUUUCUUUUAAGUCAUUUAUUUUUGAUAAUAAUAGUGAAAAGAACUCUCCAUCCCCUUACUUUUCGUUCUUGCUAUGAAAACAACUCUCUUCUCAUUCCUUCUUUUUUUUUUUUGAAUUUUGUCGUUUCUAUAUGUUUUUAUUUUCCUUGAAUUUAAUAAGUUUCUCCGGCACGUUUCAUCUUUUGAAAGCCUCCAUGACAUGUGUAUGAUUCAUUUCUCUGUGUUCAUUGCGGGAAUUAGAUUGGCAAUAUAUCACACAAUCUUAGGUAUAGCAUGUAGGCCUAAUAUGAUGCAUCUUGGUGGAACUGAGAUUUGGGUCCUUUUGUUAUAGA